This 497-nucleotide ribosomal RNA is filed under the name uncultured bacterium. RNAcentral describes it as "partial 16S ribosomal RNA". It matches the Rfam family "Bacterial small subunit ribosomal RNA", at positions 28 to 507 of the family's 1533-position model. The record is from RNAcentral.
GAUGAACGCUGGCGGCGUGCCUAAUACAUGCAAGUCGAGCGAACAGACGAGGAGCUUGCUCCUCUGACGUUAGCGGCGGACGGGUGAGUAACACGUGGAUAACCUACCUAUAAGACUGGGAUAACUUCGGGAAACCGGAGCUAAUACCGGAUAAUAUAUUGAACCGCAUGGUUCAAUAGUGAAAGACGGUUUUGCUGUAACUUAUAGAUGGAUCCGCGCCGCAUUAGCUAGUUGGUAAGGUAACGGCUUACCAAGGCGACGAUGCGUAGCCGACCUGAGAGGGUGAUCGGCCACACUGGAACUGAGACACGGUCCAAACUCCUACGGGAGGCAGCAGUAGGGAAUCUUCCGCAAUGGGCGAAAGCCUGACGGAGCAACGCCGCGUGAGUGAUGAAGGUCUUCGGAUCGUAAAACUCUGUUAUUAGGGAAGAACAAAUGUGUAAGUAACUAUGCACGUCUUGACGGUACCUAAUCAGAAAGCCACGGCUAACUACGUG